UCGAGUAGGACGGGGCACGAGAAACCCUGUUUGAAUCUGGCUGGACCACCAGCCAAGGCUAAAUAUAAUAUACGAUCGAUAGUGAACUAGUACAGCGAUGGAAAGGUGAAAAGAACCCCGGGAGGGGAGUGAAAUAGAUCCUGAAAUUGUGUGCCUACAAAGUGUCGGAGCCGACUUGUUCGGUGACGGCGUGCUUUUUGUAGAACGAUCCAGCGAGUUAAUUUCAAGUGCAAGGUUAAGUCAGUUGACGGAGCCAUAGUGAAAGCGAGCCUGAAUAGGGCGAUUAGUACUUGGAAUUAGACCCGAAACCGGGUGACCUAACCAUGUGCAGGCUGAAGCUGCGGUAACACGCAGUGGAGGGCCGAACCAGAGUACGCUGUAAAGUGCUUGGAUGACGUGUGGUUAGCGGUGAAAUGCCAAUCGAACUCGGAGAUAGCUGGUUCUCCUCGAAAUAACUUUAGGGUUAGCGUCGUGUAGUAACAUACGGGGGUAGAGCUCUGUAAAGGACUGGGGCGGGCAACUGUACCCACCCUUAACAAACUACGAAUACCGUAUGCGGAAUCACGGCAGUUAGAACGGCGGAGCUAAGUUCGUCGCUCGAAAGGGAAACAGCCCAGACCAUCAUCUAAGGUCCCUAAAUUAACGUUCAGUGGGAAACAAGGUGAGAUUUCUUAAACAGCUAGGAUGUUGGCUUAGAAGCAGCCAUUCAUUUAAAGAGUGCGUAACAGCUCACUAGUCAAGAGAUCUUGCGUGGAAAAUGUAACGGGGCUAAACGUAAUACCGAAGACAUGGGUCUAUGCAUUAGCAUGGGCGGUAGAGGAGCGUUCCUAUCUGCGGUGAAGCUGGACUGUAAGGUACAGUGGAGCGUUAGGAAGUGAGAAUGCUGGAAUGAGUAACCAUAAGACAGGUGAGAAUCCUGUCGGCCGUAAGAGCAAGGUUUCCUGAGCUAUGGUAAUCAUCUCAGGGUUAGUCGGGCCUAAGCCGAGGCGUAUAGCGUAGGCGAUGGACAUCAGAUUAAUAUUUCUGAACCGGUUAAAUCUUGUACACUGUUCACAGGGAGUUAGUCAAAGCGGAUUAUUGGUAUAUAUCCGUCCAACCUAGCGGGAACGCAAAGGGAGUGAAAAUUACUUAGGGUAAUGAUUUUGAUGAAAGCUCUGGCUAGAAAAGCAGAUGUACUUAUGGAUUUAUCCGCCCGUACCGCAAACCAACACAGGUGCUCGAGUCGAGUAGACUAAGGCUUACGAGUGAACCUUCGCUAAGGAACUCGGCAAUACAGCGACCGUAACUUCGGAAUAAGGUCUGCCUCCACAUCAGUGGAUACAAGUAUUACUGAGCUAAGGCGUUAUAAACAAGAGUAUCUUAUUUACUUACUUUUACUGAGACACGUCUUUAGCUUAAGCUAUUUGCAUCUAGCGAUGUGGAGGCCGCAGCAAAAGAGCCCACGGAACUGUUUAUCAAAAACACAGGUCCCUGCUAACACGAAAGUGGAUGUAUAGGGGCUGACUCCUGCCCAGUGCCGGAAGGUUAAGGGGAAUGCUUAACGGUGUGAACUGAAGCCCCGGUGAACGGCGGCGGUAACUAUAACCGUCCUAAGGUAGCGAAAUUCCUUGUCAGGUAAGUUCUGACCCGCACGAAUGGAGUAAUCAUGUGGGCACUGUCUCAGCGAAGGACUCGGUGAAAGUGCAUUGGCGGUAAAGAUGCCGUCUGUCCGUACCAGGACGAAAAGACCCCAUGGAGCUUUACUACAGUUUUACAUUGACUCGAUUUACCUUAUGUGUAGCAUAGGUGGGAGACUUUGAAGCAGAUACGCCAGUAUUUGUGGAGUCACAGGUGAAAUACCACCCUUAAUGUGAAUUUAGUCUCACCAUUACCGUAAUCCGGUAAUGGGACCGUGUAUGAUGGGUAGUUUAACUGGGGCGGUUGCCUCCUAAAGAGUAGCGGAGGCGUUCAAAGG
RNAcentral lists this ribosomal RNA (1954 nucleotides) under human metagenome. RNAcentral describes it as "bacterial LSU rRNA". It matches the Rfam family "Bacterial large subunit ribosomal RNA", at positions 408 to 2316 of the family's 2925-position model. The record is from RNAcentral.